This 534-nucleotide ribosomal RNA is filed under the name uncultured bacterium. Its description in RNAcentral is "partial 16S ribosomal RNA". It matches the Rfam family "Bacterial small subunit ribosomal RNA", at positions 355 to 903 of the family's 1533-position model. The record is from RNAcentral.
UGGGGAAUAUUGCACAAUGGGCGAAAGCCUGAUGCAGCAACGCCGCGUGAGUGAUGAAGGUCUUCGGAUUGUAAAGCUCUGUCUUUUGGGACGAUAAUGACGGUACCAAAGGAGGAAGCCACGGCUAACUACGUGCCAGCAGCCGCGGUAAUACGUAGGUGGCGAGCGUUGUCCGGAUUUACUGGGCGUAAAGGGUGCGUAGGCGGAUGUUUAAGUGAGAUGUGAAAUACCCGGGCUUAACUUGGGUGCUGCAUUUCAAACUGGAUAUCUAGAGUGCAGGAGAGGAGAAUGGAAUUCCUAGUGUAGCGGUGAAAUGCGUAGAGAUUAGGAAGAACACCAGUGGCGAAGGCGAUUCUCUGGACUGUAACUGACGCUGAGGCACGAAAGCGUGGGUAGCAAACAGGAUUAGAUACCCUGGUAGUCCACGCCGUAAACGAUGAGUACUAGGUGUAGGAGGUAUCGACCCCUUCUGUGCCGCAGUAAAACACAUUAAGUACUCCGCCUGGGAAGUACGAUCGCAAGAUUAAAAACUCU